This 253-nucleotide ribosomal RNA is filed under the name uncultured prokaryote. Its description in RNAcentral is "partial 16S ribosomal RNA". It matches the Rfam family "Bacterial small subunit ribosomal RNA", at positions 524 to 776 of the family's 1533-position model. The record is from RNAcentral.
UACAGAGGUGGCGAGCGUUGUUCGGAUUUACUGGGCGUAAAGCGUGCGUAGGCGGUCGCGUAUGUCGGAUGUGAAAUCCCGGGGCUCACCCCCGGAAGUGCAUCCGAAACUGCGCGGCUCGAGGCCGGGAUGAGUGACUGGAACACAUGGUGUAGCGGUGAAAUGCGUUGAUAUCAUGUGGAACACCGGAGGCGAAGGCGAGUCACUGGAACGGAUCUGACGCUGAGGCACGAAAGCGUGGGGAGCAAACAGG